RNAcentral lists this long non-coding RNA (733 nucleotides) under Junco hyemalis (dark-eyed junco). Its description in RNAcentral is "lncRNA (ENSJHYG00000011284.1)". Lineage: Eukaryota; Metazoa; Chordata; Aves; Passeriformes; Passerellidae. The record is from RNAcentral.
GCGGGAAGCAGCGGCCGGCAGGGGAGGGAGCGGUAGCGGAGCCGGCCGGGGUCGGGCUGAGCGAGGGGGGCUCUGGUGCCACCGGGUCCCGCCGGCUGAGGGGCAGCCUGAGGCCUCUGGGGUGGUGGCGGCCGGGUGGGGAUUGCCUUCGUGGGGACGCAGACAUUGUCCCUGGCUGUGGGAUCUCCAGGGACAGCGUGUCUCUCCCUCCCUCCCUCCCUCGCCGGAUUUCCUUGGGGCCACAUUUCCUGAGAGUGUGCUGGCUAUCUUCAUGGGGACCAGAGAGAGUCAUGGUUUGGAUCAGACUCUGCUGCUGCUGCUGUAGAAGUAAUGGUGGGGAUUGAGAAAUGGGUACAGGAGCUGCAUCUUUCUUACUCCAUCAUGUGAAUCAUGUAAUACUCCAUGGCUUUCUGCUGCUUUGUUCUCUGCUCCUUUGGUGAUUUACUGUUUUACUUUCUGCCCUCUUUUGUGACUCAUGUACAGCUUUGUCUCUGCAGUGGCCCUUAUAGAUUGUGUGAUGGCUCCAUGAACACAGCGGGAGCAGCCUUAAAUGGGAGGUGAUUCUGUAGAGCCCCACAGCCUUGGAAAUCACUUUCAUUUAGAACCACAACUUUGUAAGGGCUUGCUUGGAGAGAGCAAGACAAACAAGCCUUCUGUCACAGGAGAAGACACGCUUUUUCCUACAUGGGCCUCCAGAGAGAGCACAGAGUCAGAGGCUGAUUUACCACUGUGA